This 253-nucleotide ribosomal RNA is filed under the name uncultured bacterium. RNAcentral's name for it is "partial 16S ribosomal RNA". It matches the Rfam family "Bacterial small subunit ribosomal RNA", at positions 524 to 776 of the family's 1533-position model. The record is from RNAcentral.
UACGGGGGGGGCAAGCGUUGUUCGGAAUUACUGGGCGCAAAGGGUUCGUAGGUGGCUUGUUAAGUCAGACGUGAAAGCCCACGGCUCAACCGUGGAGGGUCAUUGGAAACUGGGAGACUUGAGUGCAGAAGAGGAAAGUGGAAUUCCAUGUGUAGCGGUGAAAUGCGUAGAGAUCCGGAGGAACCCCAGAGGCGAAGGCGGCGCUCUGGCUCGCAACUGACGCUCAGACACGACAGCAUGGGGAGCGAACGGG